This is a long non-coding RNA of Cryptotermes secundus, 1326 nucleotides long. RefSeq lists it as uncharacterized. The transcript is spliced from 3 exons. The record is from RefSeq and is a predicted model, not a curated record. NCBI's taxonomy places the organism in Eukaryota, Metazoa, Arthropoda, Insecta, Blattodea, Kalotermitidae.
AAGGAUACUAUUAAAAUUAAGACUUGUUGAAUACUGGGUUCACAGACGUUUGGAUGCACUGGCGUGGAACAGGUUCGGAGGUGGGGCUAGCAGAUGCCUAUCCAGUUUGGUCCGUCAGGGAGGGCUAAUCUCAAUCACUGGACAACCUAUAUUUAAGGAACAUUGCUGCUGGCCUCUGCCAGCACUCUCAGUACUUGUUACCGGUCCUGCGGGACUCACAAAGAUAGCUUUCCCUCUCUAUUAUAUGGCUUCGAUGACGAUGUUACAAUGGAAUAAGUAUUACAUGAGUGAAGGAGAAAAUCCUGGAACAUAAAACGUGAUCAGGGGUAAAUAAAUUGUCAAUUCUACUUCUGGACUUGCAGUUUAUUGACACACAACCAAAUGAUGGGAUCUUACUUUGCAGGUAAUACAUAUAUAAACUGAUCCUUCUCUUGAAUAUAAGUUACUUUAGACAUAAGGACAGUACUACUGUAACACAAGAUACAUUUGAAGUUAAAAAUCAGAAAAUAUAUGAAAAAUCAAUAUUACAAUGUGACGCAGGUCUGUAUGUCUCUUUAAUGAAGUUAAUCUGUCUACUUGGAAUAAAACAAGUGGAAAGACGUAUUCAAAUGGAGUUCGUUUUCCAAUUUACAUAUUACGUACAUAUCCCAUUGUUUUCUAUAGUAAUUUAUUCCAAAUAUAAAUUUAUUGUUGAAAACUUAUUACACUACAUAUUUACAAAAUAUUUUUCUUGUGUGAAGUUAAACAUUCAACGUAAGAAAAUAUUUUAAAUAGAAGUUGUUGAUCUACAUAAGACCCAUAUUUUCCACACUGAGCAUUAAAAAAUUUAUGUCUGAUUUGAGCUCCAUGUAAAGCACACGUUAUUUUGCAGCAUAAACCAAAAUUAAAUUUGGGCAGAAACUUUUAAUGUAGACCCUCAAACCAAUUCUAUCAAAAUCCAUUCAACAGUUUCAGAAAUGAAAUAUGCAGAAGGAUGGGCAGACAAAACUUCCCCAUUAAUAUUAAUUUCAUGCACUGUGUGCAAAGAAUGUAUAAAAAUCUGUAUUGGUAUAUGGUAUGAGAGGAAACUAGGACGUUAUAUGUAACAAAAUUAAGUGUUCUAUAUUUUGGAAGGACUGGAUGGAAUGCAAACUCUCAGAUAGGGCACAUGUAAUGGAAUAUAUCACUUGUAUGACAUCUAUAACUAGAUAUGAAAUUUCACCAACUUGGAAAUUUGUUAAACAUUUCUUGCAUUACAUUUACAAAUUGAGACACACAAAAAAAAAUUGGAGAGAUUUUUCAUUUUGUUUUACCUCUAUAUAAAUAAACAACAUUAGUAAUUAUUAU